Long non-coding RNA from Eucalyptus grandis, 3296 nucleotides. RefSeq lists it as uncharacterized. NCBI's taxonomy places the organism in Eukaryota, Viridiplantae, Streptophyta, Magnoliopsida, Myrtales, Myrtaceae. The transcript has 3 exons. The record is from RefSeq and is a predicted model, not a curated record.
UUCUAGGGUUGGGUGUGGUGCAUUUAUGAGGAUUAGGAGGCAUGAUGAUGGAAGGUGGAUUGUUGAUCGUUAACAACUAGAGCAUAACCAUGAGCUUGAGAUGCAAAUGAAAGCCAACAGAGGUUCAGCUUCUAGGAAACUUUUAGAUGAGAUUAAUGAAACAUCGGAAAAACUAGACAUUGCUAAAAAGCACAAUGGGAGCCUCGUAAAGAAACAUCGUGCGAACAACAUAGGAAGUGAUUGGUAUACCGUGCUUCAUAAUUACUUUCAGAACUGACAGGCUGAGGACAUCGGAUUCUUUUAUGCUGUCGAUGUACAGAUGGGUUGCUGUAGAAGUCUUUUUUGGGCUGAUGGCAGAUCUAGGUUUUCCUGCAGUCAGUUUGGUGAUGCCAUCAUUUUUUAUACCUCCUAUAAGCAAAACAAUUAUGUGGUGCCAUUUGCUACUUUUGUUGGUGUUAAUCACCACAAGCAGCCGGUUCUUCUUGGAUGUGCUCUAGUUGAUAAUGAAUUGAAGGAGUCCUUCAUAUGGUUAUUUGAGACAUGGCUCAGGGCAAUGGCUGGGUGCCAUCCCAAUUCGAUAAUAGCUGAUCAUGAUGAUUCCAUUCUGCAAGCAAUUGCACAAGUUUUUCCUUCAAGUGAUCAUCGAUUCUCAAUGUAGCAAAUUAAGACAAAAGAACGUGAGCAUUUGAGUCCAUUGAGUAGUGAUUGUAAAUAUGAAUAUGAGAAAUGUGUUUAUCAAAGUCAUACAGUUGGUGAAUUUGAUGCCGCAUGGGAUGCUCUUCUCAGCAAAUAUAGCCUGAGGGAAGCUUGGCUGAAGGAAAUGUAUGAAAAGCGUGAAAACUGGGUUCCACUGUACUUACGUGGAACAUUUUUUGCUGGAAUUCCUAUUGAUGGUCUAGAUGCCUUUUUUGAUCCAUAUUUAAAUUCUCAAACGUCACUUGAAGAAUUUGUCGUGAGAUAUGAGCAAUGUUUGGAGCAACGUCGUGGCAAUGAAAGGAAAGAAGAUUAUAAUUCAUUCAACUUGCAAGCAUAUUUGCAGACAAAUGAACCUAUGGAAGAGCAAUGUAGGAGGCUUUAUACCCUUUCUGUUUUCAAAGUUUUCCAGAGGGAACUUUUACAAAGCUACAGUUAUCUGGGUGCCAAGAUUCACGAACAAGGGGCCAUCUGCAGAUAUUUGAUCUGUAAGUGUGGCAAUGAGAAUGAGAAACAUAUUGUUACCUUUUGUUCAUCCAAUCUCGAUGUGAGUUUGUGGCUGUCAAAUAUUUGAAUCAGAGGGUGUAUUGUGUAGAUAUGCUUUGAGAUUGUUCCAGAUUCUAGAUAUUAGGGAGCUUCCAUCUCGCUACAUCUUACAUAGGUGGACGAGGAGUGCUGAGUAUUUUACUGUAUGUGAUUUUGAAUCAGGAGGUAGCUCCCAUGAAAUUAAGGCUAAGAUGGUCUGGAGUCUUCGUGAAAUUGCUGCCAAAUAUGUAGAGUUUGGUGCCACAUCUUUUGAGAAAUACAAACUUGCUUAUGAAAUUAUGCAUGAGGGUGGGAGGAAACUUUGCUGACAGAGGUAAGAAUAGGAUAAUUUUGUAGUUUGGAGUGCAUCUAUAGUUUCUUUUCCAGCAGGCCUGACUUUUGUAACUAGAGGGCAUCAACUUGUUUUAUACGAGGCUAGGGGUAAGGGAGGCGAUAAAUUGAGAAGAGUGAACGAAGAACUAUGCUUAAAAAUAGUACCUUCAGUUUCAAAAGGCAAAUUUCAAAAAUAAUGUCUAGCGGGGGGAAGCCAUCACAAGCUCCCUGACCGUAUGUCCUUGAGAAGCUGACCUGAUAUUUGAAGAACCUGUAGACCUGUGCUCUGGUGUAAUUUCCUCCAGAAGAUAGGGGUAAGGGAAUAAAUUGAAGAGAGCGAAUGAAGAACUAUGCUUAAAAUUUCCUUGGUUGUACCGUCAGUUUCCAAAGGCAAAUCUCAGCAGCAGUGGGAAGCCACCACAAGCCCCCUGAAUGAGUGUCUUUGAGAAGCUGACCUGAUAUUUGGAGAACGCGAAGACCUAUGCUGAUGUAAUUUGCCAUCGACUGAGUGUUUUGAGAAGCUGAUAUGAUAUUCGAAGAACCUCUAGAUCUGUGCUGGUUUAAUUUCCUCCAAGGUAUCCUCUCUCAUAGUGAAGUUAAUGAUAUACAUGAAUUGUUGUGAUUUGCAUUUCAAUUUUUCCUCACCCUGAAUAAUCUGACAUGAACAAAGAUGGAAGAGUGGAGUUCAUCUAAUAGAAAUGUCUGAUUCAAUAGUCAAUCACACUCUAGCACCUCAGUUGCACUUGCAGAAACUUACUCAGUGGAUGUGAUUUUCUAUUUGGUAAUGAUUUUUCCAGCAAUAUUUGGAAAUGCCAUAUUACAUUCCAUGAUGUGGCUGAUUUCUUGUUUCGUGUUUUGUAUUUCAUCUUAUUUCUUGGCCGUACAUUUGGUUUCCCUAUGCAGCUUUAAUUGGACGUGUCGUAGCCAACAAACUUCUAUUAUUCAACUAUGUUGAAAAGUUCCACUAUAUUGGAGUGCGUUGAAUAACUUUUAUAGUACAGAUUUUAGUACAAAGAGCGUUACUGAUGAAGACUACUCGUACAGAUUUUAGUUCAACUACUCAUGCAAAAUGGAAUAUCUCACAGAGGUAUAGUAGAAACUCUCUUUCGUUUGCGUGAUACUGGCUCAUGAAGCAGCAUAAUUUAUUCUUUAAAAUGCACGAGCAGUUCUUUAAUGGAUAUCUGUCCAUUAGCACUUAAAUAUAUGAGAAAACUAGGGGAAUCACCACUGGACUGGCAGAUAUAUUUGUCUUGAUGGCAACAGAAAUGAGCUUCCUCUUGUUAUAGCAAGUUAGGCUACUCUCGCUGGUAGAAACCAUGAGGGAAUAUUUGGCAAGGGACAAAGUGGCGUAUAUAGCUAGCUUAGAGUUGAACUUGCUUGUGGGCAGAUAAGUAGCUCCGGACUGCCAUUGAUAUGUAGCUUAGACUACCAAGGCUGAAGGAACACUUUGGUAUGGUAUGAUAUAUUGACAUUGUCUCCUGAUGCCUCGACUUGAAACCUUGAGCUUGAAUAUCAUUUGAGAUCUGAACAUGCCUAGUGCUCUGUUAAUGAAGAUUGCAGGCACAACCAUAGUACCUGGAGAAGGAUUUGCACGUUCUCAUGCAUCAGGUAUGAUUGUACAUUCCUUUCCGAUGCCAAUCGAGACUACUGCAUUAUUUUCAUCUUUGUACACUAAGAUGAUCUACUGCAUAAUUGAUGAUUAAAAUAACUUGUAUCUAAAGAAAAACAUGUACUCUCUCCCAAUA